GAGGGUAUAGCUCAAGUGGUAGAGCACAUGCUUAGCAUGCAUGCGGUCAUGGGUUCAAUCCCCAGUACCUCCU
RNAcentral lists this transfer RNA (73 nucleotides) under Camelus bactrianus (Bactrian camel). It matches the Rfam family "tRNA". Rfam says of the family: Transfer RNA (tRNA) molecules are approximately 80 nucleotides in length. Their secondary structure includes four short double-helical elements and three loops (D, anti-codon, and T loops). Further hydrogen bonds mediate the characteristic L-shaped molecular structure. tRNAs have two regions of fundamental functional importance: the anti-codon, which is responsible for specific mRNA codon recognition, and the 3' end, to which the tRNAs corresponding amino acid is attached (by aminoacyl-tRNA synthetases). tRNAs cope with the degeneracy of the genetic code in two manners: having more than one tRNA (with a specific anti-codon) for a particular amino acid; and 'wobble' base-pairing, i.e. permitting non-standard base-pairing at the 3rd anti-codon position. The record is from Rfam by way of RNAcentral. Lineage: Eukaryota; Metazoa; Chordata; Mammalia; Artiodactyla; Camelidae. RNAcentral also lists the same sequence under 2 other names.